UGUUCUAACCGAAGAGACUGGACACAGUUCCCUGUGAGGUAUAGCAGGACCUCAUUACUUACCCAUUCUAAAUGUAAUAGUUUGCAUCUACCAACCCCCAACUUCCUCUCUCUCUUGGCAAACACAAGUCUGCUCUCCCUGUCUGUGAUCUGUUUCUGUUUUGUAGAUAAGAUAGUUUGUGCCAUAUUUUAGAUUCCACAUACAAGUGAUAUCAUAUGGUAUUUGUCUUUCUCUUUCUGAUGAAUUAAAGACUCUUCCCUGGGGCAACACCUGAAAAUAUUAGGACUCAGGUGGAUGAGAAGUGGGAGAGGGACUUUAUUUGGCUUUAGUCUGAAUUUCUAUUCUGUGAGUUAUUGUGGUUCUUUAUUAAGCCAGCCUGUUGGCUUGAGGCUUGUAAUAUCUCCAGUUCUCAAUGACUUUAUUUCAUAUACAUUUCAUAUAUUUAAAAUGUGCCCUUUGAACACAUUAUUAUGAAAUGUUAUAUGAAAAUGUCAAUCUCCCAAUAAAAAGAAAAGAAGGUUUCAGCUUUGUGUCUGGGAAGAUGACUCAGUGACUUGGAGAGAAAUCUGCUGCUGUGCAAACAAAUAUAGUUAUGAAAGGACAGGCUGCCAUCAUAUCUCCUCUCCCCUAGGAAGAAACCUUCCUAUUUCCUAUAGGAUACAGUGACAACUUUAUAAAUCUGUGCAAUGUUCUGGAAAAAGGCAGAAAUAUGCAGCCAGCAGGUUUUCUUUAAAAGGGACCACUGCUUAUGUGGAGAAGGAAGCUGCCAUGUUGGUUGGAGUUUGAAAUGAGUCAUCAUCAUCUGUCAACACUGAAAAUCAGAGGAUGCUGUUGCUUUAUCACUUUCUGAACUAUGCAGCUAGCUAGGUAGCGUGUAAGUGGUAAUGGGGAAACUUCUUUAAGGGGAAGGGAAUGGAGACAGUGAAGGGACUUCCGUGGCUCCCCUGGCCCCUUUCCCCUCCCCCAGUUAGUUCCAUUUUCCCUGAGCACUCGGAUGUCCUCGACAGUCACCCCACCAUACACACACUUUUACUCAGCCUAGGAAACCCCAAGCCAAAGAAUUCCUAAAAGUUCUCUUCCCGUUGAAACUGGGUCCAGCACCCAUGGAGCCUUGGGUUAUGUCACGUGAUUACAAAGAAUGUCAAACCCCUUCCAAGCCAAUUGCCUCUCUCCACUGGAGUAGGUCACUGACUUCUCAGGAACAAUCUGCCUUUGGCUGGAUAGCACACAACAGCCACCAAUGAAUCAGCUUGUCCAUGGUUUGCAAAGGACAAUGCUGAAGGUCAUUGGGCUUGGAAUUGACCCUUCUGCCGGCUUCAUCACCCUCACUCACCGUGAUCACUCAGGAUCCUACUUCUGUCAUCUCAAAGACUUCACGGGCUCUAAAAGGGACCACUGCUUGUGUGGAGAAUGAGGCCUGCAUGUUUUUUGACAUCGAAAGGAACCAUCAUUAUCUAUCAACACUGAACGUUAAGGGAUGUUGCUGCUUGACUGAACCUGGCAGUACAAUAAAAAUGAAAAAAGAAGCAAGUUAUUUGCAUCACUGGAAUAUGGUUAAUGUUGUCAACAUAUGCUUUUUUAGAAGGUUGCUGCAAAUCAAUGCUUCUUGGUGUCAGAUAUUUAUAAGGAUGAUUUGUAUUUAUCGAAAACCUACCAUAUGUCAGAUAUGCUGCUUGGCAUUUGGUAUGCUUGAUUGUACAAGAUCAUGGCUUCCUUCCUAAGGAUUUAUAUGUUGCUUUCACUUGAACAGAUGAGAAAACUGUAGCUCAGGGAAGUUGGGUCAGGCCACUAGUAGAUCCUCACGCAGACAGUUUUGCUCCGUAAUCCACUAUUUCCAUAAGAUGCUCCCCACUUUUAAGAUGAGGAAUGCUGAUGAAAAACUGUGAACAGUCAUUUACCACCAGUCAGGGGGUGAGGUUGGGGUAGUAUUUUGUUUUGCUGUAGAUAAAGAAUUGGCUUAAUAAGAAAUAAAAAGUAGAGGAAAAUAUUUGCUUCUCCAGAUGGAAAAAUGUUACGAGUUUAUAUUUAAUAGUUUUAUAAGUGACUUGGAUCAGAGGGUACACAGUGAGAUCUCCAGAAUUAAAGAUGGAAGUGAAAUGUCAAACUGACAGGGAUAAACCAUAGUAAAAUCUCAUGAGGUUUCAUGAGUGGGUAGAGAAAUAGCAAAUGAGCUCUAGCGUGGGCAAGUGUAAGGCAAUAUAUUCAGGGAAAAUAAUAUAAACUUUGCUUAUGAUACCUCUUGGUUUCCGUAUAAGAAAAGAAGCUUAUAUCGGUAUAAAAUAUUAUAAAAUAUGUAAUAUUUCAUAUUUUAGUAAUCAGGGGAAAUGGCAGUAACUAGGCGGAGGGGAAAGACAUGAGAGAAGUGGGCCAGGGGAGCCAAGGGGAGUCCCCUCACUGUCUCCAUGGAAACAUAUAUGUUUUUGAUCUGUUAUUUUUAAAUAUAUUUUACUGAAGUAGUUGAUUUACAAUGUGUUAAUUUCUGUUGUACAGCAAAGUGAUUCAGUUAUACAUAUAUACUUUUUAAUAUUCUUUUCCAUUAUGGUUUAUCACAGGAUACUGAAUAUAAUUCUCUGUGCUAUACAGUAGGACCUGGCUGUUUCUCAUUCUAUAUAUACUAGUUUGCAUCUGCUAAUCCCAAACUUCCAAUCCAUCCCUCCCCCCCUGCUUGGCAACCACCAGUCUGUUCUCUAUGUCUCUGUUGACUGUUAUUUUUUGACCUUCAUAGGGAAACAGGGAGAAAACUCAAUUGUUAAUAAUAUCAUUUUAUAGGGAAAAGAAAGACCUAGGUAGCCACAGGGACUUCCCAAGGUUGCUCUGGUAGUUAAUAAAUAAACUCUAACUAGAAACCAUUACUGCAGAACCCCAGCCCACGCCCUUCCUCCUCCUUGGCUACUUCUGUAGGAUCACAAAGCCAGUAAUGUCAGAUUGCCAGACUAUCAUCAGGAGACAUCCUCUUAUCCCUACCAUAUCAAGGUCAAGAGCUCUGGUUUGGACUCAGAUAUACCUGGAUUCUAUAUGCAUUUCACUACUUGCUAGAAUAUGUGUCACAGAAGAGAUUAUUUAAACUCUAAAGAGUGUUAAUUUUUCUUGUAUGAAAUGGAGAUACAGAAUAGCACCAACCUCAUAGAAGCAUUUUAAGAAUUAAAUAAGAGAGGGGAUGAAAAUGCUAGCACAAUGCCUGGCAUAUAAGUGUUUAAUGAAUGUUUUAUUGUCAUCGGUGGACAGGAAGGUGCAGUGAACUCAUGCUUUGAGCUCCUCUGUGCUCUCCAAGCACAUAGCAAUGAUUGUUGAAAAAAGAAAAAGGUGAGUAAUCACAGCUUCCUAAACAUUCAGCAUAAACCUCCCUGAGAUCAGAAAUGCUACAACAAUGCAAACAGUGGUUAGACUAGAGACGUGGGCCUGCUGAGUUCUCUGGGAUAGGGUGGGGGGCAGGCUGGACCAGGGGCAGG
RNAcentral lists this long non-coding RNA (3449 nucleotides) under Sus scrofa (pig). RNAcentral describes it as "lncRNA (ENSSSCG00000062112.1)". Lineage: Eukaryota; Metazoa; Chordata; Mammalia; Artiodactyla; Suidae. The record is from RNAcentral.